GGCCUCGUAGCUCAGUUGGCUAGAGCGUUGGCUGUUUUAAAGCCUUCCCCUUGCUGGCGUGGGUUCAAAUCCCACCAAGGCCA
RNAcentral lists this transfer RNA (83 nucleotides) under Schistocephalus solidus. It matches the Rfam family "tRNA". From Rfam's summary of the family: Transfer RNA (tRNA) molecules are approximately 80 nucleotides in length. Their secondary structure includes four short double-helical elements and three loops (D, anti-codon, and T loops). Lineage: Eukaryota; Metazoa; Platyhelminthes; Cestoda; Diphyllobothriidea; Diphyllobothriidae. The record is from Rfam by way of RNAcentral.